RNAcentral lists this ribosomal RNA (469 nucleotides) under Clostridioides difficile. RNAcentral's name for it is "bacterial LSU rRNA". It matches the Rfam family "Bacterial large subunit ribosomal RNA", at positions 1329 to 1807 of the family's 2925-position model. The record is from RNAcentral. Lineage: Bacteria; Bacillati; Bacillota; Clostridia; Peptostreptococcales; Peptostreptococcaceae.
CCCACAGGCCGUAAACCCAAGGUUUCCAGGGGAAGGUUCGUCCGCCCUGGGUUAGUCGGGACCUAAGCUGAGGCCGAAAGGCGUAGGUGAUGGACAACAGGUUGAUAUUCCUGUACUACCGAUAACCGUUUGAGAGAAGGGAUGACACAGUAGGAUAAGCUAAGCAAACUGUUGGUUAUGUGUGCCCAAGCAUUGAGGCAGUCAAAGUAGGCAAAUCCGCUUUGAUAAUGCUGGGAUGUGAUGGGGAGCGAAAGUUAGUAGCGAAGUAGCUGAUUUCACACUGUCAAGAAAAGUCUCUAUCGAGGUUAAAGGUACCCGUACCGCAAACCGACACAGGUGGGUGAGGAGAGUAUCCUAAGGCCAGCGAGAGAACUGUUGUUAAGGAACUCGGCAAAAUGACCCCGUAACUUAGGGAUAAGGGGUGCCACCAUCAGGUGGCCGCAGAGAAUAGGCCCAAGCGACUGUUUAC